UUCUUCAGAUCUGCACGUCUGUUUAAAUGCUUCACGUAAACUGAGAUGCGGUAUCAGGAACUAUAGCUGGGCUGCUGCUGGAGGGGCACGCAGAAUGGCUAGAUUGAAGGUUUCCAUCCACAGAACAGGCUCCAUCCAGUAGGCUGCAAAGGCCCUAGGGGGGCGUGUCGACAGUCACCGGCAUCUGGGAGGACAGGCGAGCAGAGGUGGGCCAGCAGGGAACAUACAAGCUGCCCAUGCCGACUGUGUAUGAAGCUGGGAAGCAGUACAUGGGACCUGAGUCCACAGAGAGACCCCUUUCGAUGUCCCGGCAUGAGACCUCUCCGACAACGAUGCAACCGGCUGGCAACCACCGCCCCAAUGCCUGCUGCUUCUGCUGGUGCUGCUGCUGCAGCUGCUCGUGGUAUGUCCUAUGCCCUGCUCAGUACCAGAGGCGCCAAAGAAGCCCCCUCCCCAUCCCUCUCAC
Molecule: long non-coding RNA, 466 nt
Filed under: Chelonoidis abingdonii (Abingdon island giant tortoise)
Lineage: Eukaryota; Metazoa; Chordata; Testudines; Testudinidae
Description: lncRNA (ENSCABG00000000857.1)
Source: RNAcentral